AGAAAAGAAUUUUGAGUAUACUGGCUUGCAUCUGAUCCUCCCCUUGUGGCCAGAGCAUUGUAGUAUCAAGACAAUUAGUCCCUAAUGAAACAACAAGGCAGAAGCCAACCAAGCCAUCUGCUAUGGAAGCUGAAGAAGGCUGGAUAAUCCCUUCCUUUUGGCAACAUGUUUACUGAGCUCAACAGCCAUGUGCCUUCCCUCUCUCCCACCACUAACGACUUUGAAUCUUGAAUAAAUGAAGCAAAAGCGCAAUGACAUUUAGAGAUUUUUGAUAGCAGAAUCGACAGAGUGGAGUGUCUAAUAACACAGUACCAAGUGUGCCAGUGAAAUGGAAUCCAGCAGGACAGUGGCAGCAGUCCAGACAUAGUGGCUACAGUGGACAAGGCCGUGAGCGUCCUGUCAGAUAGCAGCAGUGCUCUGAGGUGGAUAAUUAUGGAAGUUCUGUGGCUCUCUUGAUUUUUAUUUAAUUCUUACUGAGCUUGAUUUUCAGCAACCUUUUCCAUGUUUGGAGCAAUUGAGUUCUCUGCCAAUAAAUUUCAUUUCUGUUUAAAUUAAUGAGUUAUAAUCAUAUUCAAGUAAGAAUUGUGACCUAUUCAGAAUUAUAUGAGAUAAAUCAGUACUGGGGCAAGAGGAGAACAUGGAAAUCCAGCAGCCCUUGCUAUGUAUUUUUCCAGCAAUUAAUAAAUGUCACCUGAAAUAAAGUUUUCAUUAAAGGUCAGUCUUAUGGAAUCAAUGUCAACCAGUUCUACACAGCACAUAUGUCUCAAGGGCAUGGAAAACAUUGGAAAGUGUGAAAGCAAUGGAUAGCUGAAGGGAAGAAAAUGACAAUCUAAGGGCCAUCAUUUCUCAACUGAAGUGAUCUGAAGCCUUGCAAUAGUAUUGCUUUAGAGGAUUUCUGCUUUAGAAUAUCUCUUUACUGAGGCAAAUUAAUGCAAUUUCUCGUACUUGAUGUGCAACUUAAUCUGACAAAUGGGCUUCCUAUAUAUCAAUAAACAGAGAACACAGGAAGCAAAUGCUACAAUCACA
RNAcentral lists this long non-coding RNA (1026 nucleotides) under Homo sapiens (human). Its description in RNAcentral is "HSALNT0085179". The record is from RNAcentral. Lineage: Eukaryota; Metazoa; Chordata; Mammalia; Primates; Hominidae.